RNAcentral lists this transfer RNA (66 nucleotides) under Notocrater youngi. Its description in RNAcentral is "tRNA-Glu". The record is from RNAcentral. Lineage: Eukaryota; Metazoa; Mollusca; Gastropoda; Lepetellida; Pseudococculinidae.
GUCUUUAUAGUGUAAUUAGCACAUUAAGUUUUCGUCCUAAUAGUGUAUCACUCGGUACUAAAGACU